This 477-nucleotide ribosomal RNA is filed under the name Novosphingobium aureum. RNAcentral describes it as "Bacterial small subunit ribosomal RNA". It matches the Rfam family "Bacterial small subunit ribosomal RNA", at positions 333 to 801 of the family's 1533-position model. Lineage: Bacteria; Pseudomonadati; Pseudomonadota; Alphaproteobacteria; Sphingomonadales; Sphingomonadaceae. The record is from Rfam by way of RNAcentral.
GCUGACCUACGGGUGGCAGCAGUAGGGAAUCUUCCACAAUGGACGCAAGUCUGAUGGAGCAACGCCGCGUGAGUGAAGAAGGUUUUCGGAUCGUAAAGCUCUGUUGUUGGUGAAGAAGGAUAGAGGUAGUAACUGGCCUUUAUUUGACGGUAAUCAACCAGAAAGUCACGGCUAACUACGUGCCAGCAGCCGCGGUAAUACGUAGGUGGCAAGCGUUGUCCGGAUUUACUGGGUGUAAAGGGCAUGUAGGCGGGAGAGCAAGUCAGAUGUGAAAUCUAUGGGCUUAACCCAUAAACUGCAUUUGAAACUGUUCUUCUUGAGUAUCGGAGAGUCAGGCGGAAUUCCUAGUGUAGCGGUGAAAUGCGUAGAUAUUAGGAGGAACACCAGUGGCGAAGGCGGCCUGCUGGACGACAACUGACGCUGAGGCGCGAAAGCGUGGGGAGCAAACAGGAUUAGAUAUCCCAGUAGUCGUUCGAC